This is a long non-coding RNA of Amphiprion ocellaris (clown anemonefish), 1157 nucleotides long. Lineage: Eukaryota; Metazoa; Chordata; Actinopteri; Pomacentridae. The record is from Ensembl.
AAAAAAAGAACAAACACAGUAAUGUUAAUGAGUUUAAUGAAAGAACCAGUUUUACAUGGGAAUCAUAUUGUAAGAAAGUCACAUAUCCAGGACAACAAGCUUUAUUCACAAUUCUCUUUCCCUAUCUAAAGCUAUUGUGCAUCUUUUGUUAGUAAUACUUGACUGUAAUCAAAAGCUCUCCACUUUCUCUGGGUUUUCACAUUUGGGACAGCAUGGAGCGCUACUGAAACGAUGCACACUGAACUCAACUAUUAUUGAGUGAUUGUUGUUGUGAUAAUAUCUGCUCUCCUUUUUUAUCAGAUAGUCCCUUGAGAUUUACAGUUCCGGGUAGGACGUUUCCAGAAUGCCAGGAUGAGGGCGGUGACGUCUGCAGUGGUAGUGAAACAUCUCUUGAUGCGAGUGUUUCCCUUCCUCUCAGGUUUCUCCCUCCAGUGCAGGUUUGGAGGCUGGUCCGGCUGCUCCCUCUUUGUUGCACGACUGUGGCAAGACGCUGGUGAAGGUGUGCGAACGUCAGAAGGGGGUGGAUGCAACAGCAGCUUCAGAAUAUUCGCCAAAGCAGUUGUGGAUGUGGAUAACAACAGUAUACAACAAUCUGUCCCUCUCUAUCUCCCCACACAUCCACCAACCACUGGAACACAUCUCCAAAGUUCUGCAGGGCCAGCUCAGCUUCCCCUCAGAAGAAGUGCUGCCACCUGCCAGAUGAAGGAGCCUUUUGAGAGGCAGCUGGCAUCGUGAUUGGACUGUACUUUGGUCUGUUCCAAUCCAGCUUCAGCUCCAGAGACGGCAGGCGGGACGAGUCAACGGAGGCCGGAUGGACGAAGACAUGCAGCUGAGUACAAUCCAGAAAACAACAGAGGAGGAGUGCAGGGCCCAGAGCCAGAACAACCAGAGUAGCAUAAAAACUCCUUUAACUUAACAUGUCAACAAAACAAAAACGUAUGAACAAAGUUUUCUGUUAGAGUUUGUGUUCUUCUAAGUUUAACUCCAAGAUUUUAAAUACUUUCAUUUACUGCAAAUGAAUAUCUACUCCAAAUGUCUCACUAAUAAUCAUUAUCAGCCUUAAAAACCCACAAAACACCCCUUUAUACUCGACCACACUUAGUACAGUCCGGUUCCCCCUUCUAUAAAUCUGCUUGGAAUCUUCCACUUCCUGUUUG